This 730-nucleotide ribosomal RNA is filed under the name uncultured Actinomycetes bacterium. RNAcentral describes it as "bacterial SSU rRNA". It matches the Rfam family "Bacterial small subunit ribosomal RNA", at positions 61 to 804 of the family's 1533-position model. Lineage: Bacteria; Bacillati; Actinomycetota; Actinomycetes. The record is from RNAcentral.
GUCGAACGGAAAGGCCCUGCUUGCAGGGUACUCGAGUGGCGAACGGGUGAGUAACACGUGGGUGAUCUGCCCUGCACUUCGGGAUAAGCCUGGGAAACUGGGUCUAAUACCGGAUAGGAGCCAUUUUUAGUGUGAUGGUUGGAAAGUUUUUUCGGUGUAGGAUGAGCUCGCGGCCUAUCAGCUUGUUGGUGGGGUAAUGGCCUACCAAGGCGGCGACGGGUAGCCGGCCUGAGAGGGUGGACGGCCACAUUGGGACUGAGAUACGGCCCAGACUCCUACGGGAGGCAGCAGUGGGGAAUAUUGCACAAUGGGCGCAAGCCUGAUGCAGCGACGCCGCGUGGGGGAUGACGGCCUUCGGGUUGUAAACUCCUUUCGCUAGGGACGAAGCUUUUUGUGACGGUACCUAGAUAAGAAGCGCCGGCUAACUACGUGCCAGCAGCCGCGGUAAUACGUAGGGUGCGAGCGUUGUCCGGAAUUACUGGGCGUAAAGGGCUCGUAGGUGGUUUGUCGCGUCGUCUGUGAAAUUCCGGGGCUUAACUCCGGGCGUGCAGGCGAUACGGGCAUAACUUGAGUACUGUAGGGGUAACUGGAAUUCCUGGUGUAGCGGUGAAAUGCGCAGAUAUCAGGAGGAACACCGAUGGCGAAGGCAGGUUACUGGGCAGUUACUGACGCUGAGGAGCGAAAGCAUGGGUAGCGAACAGGAUUAGAUACCCUGGUAGUCCAUGCCGUA